RNAcentral lists this ribosomal RNA (378 nucleotides) under uncultured eukaryote. Its description in RNAcentral is "partial 18S ribosomal RNA". It matches the Rfam family "Eukaryotic small subunit ribosomal RNA", at positions 592 to 976 of the family's 1831-position model. The record is from RNAcentral.
CAAUAGCGUAUAUUAAAGUUGUUGCAGUUAAAAAGCUCGUAGUUGGAUUUCGGGACGGGCCAGUUGGUCCGCCGCAAGGUGUGUUACUGACUGGUCUGUUCUUCUUCGCAAAGACUGCGUGUGCUCUUCGUUGAGUGUGCGUAGGAUUUACGACGUUUACUUUGAAAAAAUUAGAGUGUUCAAAGCAGGCUAUCGCUUGAAUACAUGAGCAUGGAAUAAUGGAAUAGGACUUUGGUCCUAUUUUGUUGGCUUCUAGGACCGAAGUAAUGAUUAAGAGGGACAAUUGGGGGCAUCCGUAUUUCGUUGUCAGAGGUGAAAUUCUUGGAUUUACGAAAGACGAACAACUGCGAAAGCACUUGCCAAGAGUGUUUUCAUUAA